AAUGAUAUGCCUGAAUAAAAAGGACUAUUUUGAUAGAAUAGAUUAUGUAUAUUAUUUAUACUUUCAUUA
This 69-nucleotide transfer RNA is filed under the name Pheidole yeensis. RNAcentral's name for it is "tRNA-Ile". The record is from RNAcentral. Lineage: Eukaryota; Metazoa; Arthropoda; Insecta; Hymenoptera; Formicidae.